GACGAACGCUGGCGGCGUGCUUAACACAUGCAAGUCGAACGGAAAGUCCCUGCUUUUGUGGGGUGCUCGAGUGGUGAACGGGUGAGUAACACGUGAGUAACCUGCCCUUGACUUUGGGAUAACUUCAGGAAACUGGGGCUAAUACCGGAUAGGAGCUCCUGCUGCAUGGUGGGGGUUGGAAAGUUUCGGCGGUUGGGGAUGGACUCGCGGCUUAUCAGCUUGUUGGUGGGGUAGUGGCUUACCAAGGCUUUGACGGGUAGCCGGCCUGAGAGGGUGACCGGCCACAUUGGGACUGAGAUACGGCCCAGACUCCUACGGGAGGCAGCAGUGGGGAAUAUUGCACAAUGGGCGGAAGCCUGAUGCAGCAACGCCGCGUGCGGGAUGACGGCCUUCGGGUUGUAAACCGCUUUCGCCUGUGACGAAGCGUGAGUGACGGUAAUGGGUAAAGAAGCACCGGCUAACUACGUG
Molecule: ribosomal RNA, 468 nt
Filed under: uncultured bacterium
Lineage: Bacteria
Description: partial 16S ribosomal RNA
Rfam family: Bacterial small subunit ribosomal RNA
Source: RNAcentral